Molecule: non-coding RNA, 142 nt
Filed under: Vitis vinifera (wine grape)
Lineage: Eukaryota; Viridiplantae; Streptophyta; Magnoliopsida; Vitales; Vitaceae
Description: Eukaryotic large subunit ribosomal RNA
Rfam family: Eukaryotic large subunit ribosomal RNA
Source: Rfam by way of RNAcentral
GACCCGAAAGAUGGUGAUCUAUGCCUGAGUGGGGUAAAGCCAAAUGAAACUCUAGUGGAGGCCCACAGUGAUACUAACGUGCAAAUCACUCGUCUGACUUGCAUAUAGCGGCGAAAGACUAAUCGAACCAUCUAGUAGCUGG